UAGGGAAUUUUCCACAAUGGGCGCAAGCCUGAUGGAGCAACGCCGCGUGAGGGAUGAAGCAUUUCGGUGUGUAAACCUCUUUGGAGCGGGAAGAACGCCGUUUGGGUGAACAAUCCAGACGGGUGACGGUACCGCUAGAACAAGACACGGCUAACUUCGUGCCAGCAGCCGCGGUAAUACGAAGGUGUCAAACGUUGUCCGGAAUAACUGGGCGUAAAGGGCGCGUAGGCGGUCGCGUAAGUCAGAUGUGAAAGCUCUGGGCUCAACCCAGGAAUUGCAUUUGAUACUGCGUGACUCGAGUUCGGUAGAGGAGGGCGGAAUUCCAGGUGUAGCGGUGAAAUGCGUAGAUAUCUGGAGGAACACCCGUGGCGAAGGCGGCUCUCUGGUCCGAUACUGACGCUGAGGCGCGAAAGCUAGGGUAGCAAACAGGAUUAGAUACCCUGGUAGUCCUAGCUGUAAAACGGUGAGUACUAGGUGUUGGAGGUAUUGGACCCCUUC
RNAcentral lists this ribosomal RNA (498 nucleotides) under uncultured bacterium. RNAcentral describes it as "bacterial SSU rRNA". It matches the Rfam family "Bacterial small subunit ribosomal RNA", at positions 355 to 841 of the family's 1533-position model. The record is from RNAcentral.